This 380-nucleotide ribosomal RNA is filed under the name uncultured bacterium. Its description in RNAcentral is "bacterial SSU rRNA". It matches the Rfam family "Bacterial small subunit ribosomal RNA", at positions 335 to 704 of the family's 1533-position model. The record is from RNAcentral.
ACUCCUACGGGAGGCAGCAGUGGGGAAUAUUGCACAAUGGGGGAAACCCUGAUGCAGCCAUGCCGCGUGUGUGAAGAAGGCCUUGGGUUGUAAAGCACUUUCAGUAGGGAGGAAGGUAGUGUAGUUAACACCUGCAUUAUUUGUACGUUACCUACAGAAGAAGCACCGGCUAACUCCGUGCCAGCAGCCGCGGUAAGUACGGAGGGUGCGAGCGUUAAUCGGAAUUACUGGGCGUAAAGCGCAUGCAGGCGGCCUGUUAAGUCAGAUGUGAAACGCCCGGGGUCUUAACCUCGGAAUUGCAUUUGAAACUGGCAGGCUAGAGUCUUGUAGAGGGGUUAGAAUUUCGAGGUGUAGCGGUGAAAUGCGUAGAGAUCUGAAGG